RNAcentral lists this ribosomal RNA (176 nucleotides) under uncultured bacterium. Its description in RNAcentral is "partial 16S ribosomal RNA". It matches the Rfam family "Bacterial small subunit ribosomal RNA", at positions 1325 to 1500 of the family's 1533-position model. The record is from RNAcentral.
GCCGGAAUUGCUAGUAAUGGCAGGUCAGCAUACUGCCGUGAAUACGUUCCCGGGCCUUGUACACACCGCCCGUCACACCAUGAGAGUUGGAAAUACCCGAAGCCUGUGAGCUAACUUAAAGAGGCAGCGAGUCGAAGGUAGAGCCAAUGAUUGGGGUGAAGUCGUAACAAGGUACC